This 5489-nucleotide long non-coding RNA is filed under the name Pelobates cultripes (western spadefoot toad). The record is from RNAcentral. Lineage: Eukaryota; Metazoa; Chordata; Amphibia; Anura; Pelobatidae.
AUUAGUUUUUAUUUCCAGGUGGGAAAUCACUUCAUAAGUGGCUUCCCCUCAAACCAUGGGUUUUCUAUAUACUUUUAGCCAAGGCAUAUGACUGUUGGAUAGAAAAGUACUAGUGAAAAGUCCAGCACUUUAUUAGACGUUAGGUUUGAUAAAUGAUCUGAUAGUCUGAAACGUUACCUGUUUUGCUAUCAGCACUGAAUCAAGGAACACUGUGGUAUUCAAAGGUUUGCACUGAGCUUUUCAUUAUAACUUUACUAUUAUAUGACUUUUGGAGGAACGGACGUCCAUGCACCCUUUUCAGUAAAUCCCUUUAUUUUAUCUGCUACUCACCAUCAUUAGCCAAAUCCAACUUGUAAGUUCUUUUGAUUGAUGUAGGGAGUCUGUUAUAAGAUCAUGUGUUAUUUGAUAUUAAUUUUCAGUAUAUGUUAAAUUAUACCAAACGUGUAGAAGUUCCAGUAGGAGAAACUUAAACCUUGUAGGCUGUAUACCCGCCUUUAUGGAACUGGGAACAGAGUCACCAAGGUAAUUCAUGUUUAUUUUAUUAUUCUAAUGCAGGAGUAGGCAACUCCAGAUAUCUUGGACUACAUCUCCCCUGAUGCUUUGCCAGCAUUAAUGGAGAUGUAGUCCAUGACAUCUGAAGUGCCAAAGUUUACCGACCUCUGUUCUAAGGUGAACCAAAUACAGAGCUUUGCGUUAUGCGUUUGAUGGCUUUCCCAUUGUUCCUAUCAAAAGGUAAUUGCUAGAACACCUCUCAAAAUAUUUAGUACUGUUAAAGCGAACUGUUAUUAUUUUCUCUCUGUUGUUUUGUUCCCUAACCUCACUUAAAGAUGUUAUUUUCCACUGCUUGUGGAAAACGAUUAAUUGUCCAUAUUAGCUAUUAUGAGAAUUCCGGCAGAUAAACAAUUACUCCUUAUGUUUUGUUCUUUUAAUCUCUAGGCACGGCGUGAGGUUUGCAAUAACAUUAAGAAGAGCUAAAAAUGGACCUCAUUUAGUAAUUUAGUAAAACAACAACAAUGUAUCGUAUCUAAUACGGUUUUCAGAGUUUACAGAGGAAGAUAUUUAUUAUCAAUCUUUUAUUAGCUGCGAUUUAAUUACCUUCAAAAAUGCGAAUCCAUCUCCGUUACCAUGCCUAUUCUUUGAACGCAUUAGAAUUCUGACAAAUAUCUAUCAUUGCCAUAAUAAACUGCAGCCAUCUUAGCUACCUUAUCACAUCUUGUAUGAAUCAGCUUUUGAUUUAUUAGAAAAAUAUGAACUGCAGCCAUCUUAACUUCCCUGUCACACCUUGUAUGAAUCAGCUUUUGACUUAUUAGAUGAACAAAUCAUCUAGAUCCUCUUUCCUAUUGUUCUGUCUAUGUUUACUGCUCUACCGUCUACCGCCUUACCCAAUGGUACAAACCUCUGGCAUAUGUUGAUGCAUCAUGAAUACUAAUGAUAUCUACACAGUGUAUACCAACACUUCACAGGCAAUAUUUCAUUGCAAAAAAAUUAACAGAGGGUAGGUUUCUAGCAUGUAUUAUCCAGAUGUGAAGGCAGCUCGAAACACCUGAACCGGAGUCUUUCCUAUCCGGCCGUUAGCGUUCUGUAAUAAAAUGUUCGUGGGCUGUAGGAAGCCCAAACUAAGAUUAUAACUUCAGACAAAUUUCUAGGUUACAACUCCAGAGAAUACCAUAGUCAGUCAUUCCCAAUAUCACAACUUUAGAAUGAAUUAUUACAGAACAUAUACAAGAAGGAAUGGUUUGUAAGAAGCCCAGUCUCAUAUGACUCUAGUAACAGUCCGUUUUCGUCAUACAACUUCAUAAAAAGCUAUUUCUGAACAUUGCUCCAGAAUACAAAGACAGUAGGCAGAAGAGUCAGAGAUCAAAACUCCAGUACAGCUCCAGAAUGAACCAUAGGUAGGCCAGCCUCAGAGUACAGCUCCAGAAUGAACCAUAGGUAGGCCAGCCUCAGAGCACAGCUCCAAAAUGAACCAUAAGUAGGCCAGCCUCAGAGUACAGCUCCAGAAUGAACCAUAAGUAGGCCAGCCUCAGAGCACAGCUCCAGAAUGAACCAUAGGUAGGCCAGCCUCAGAGUACAGCUCCAGAAUGAACCAUAGGAAGGCCAGCCUCAGAGCACAGCCCCAGAAUGUUCUUGACACAUGUCCAAUUUCAUUUCCCCAGUAUUGUACAAUGGCAAUGAGUACUGGGUCAUAAUAUUUAGGUUCUGUUCUAGUUCUAGAAUGAGUUCAGAUUAUAUGGUAUAGAAUUUGCACUGUGAUAGCUCAUCAGGAUGCAUUGUUUUGUACUUAAACCUCAAAGUAUCAAGACAAACAUAUCCUAGAUCUGCUUUUUCAAUGGUGAGUUAUGAUUUUGUCAGCUAGCUGUACAAAGAAUCCAUCCAUUCCAUGUUUGGAAUCAUUUUGCAAUCGCUUGUUAACAGUUAGGAAUUGCCUAUUUAUAAUGUGUAAAGAGAAUGAAUGUUAAACUAAUAAUGGAGUAGUCAAACACCUGUGUGCAUACAUUAUACUAAGGCAAAGAGAUUAAGUGUAUGUUCUAUUCUUUUUAACAUUUAAUGGGAUUCUAGUCUAGAGAAAACACAUUAAAAGAAGAUAACUCCACCAGUCGUUAAUUAACAUAUUAAGACAGUGACAAUAUUUUAUUAAAGAUCAUAAUACAAGCCCAAAUUACAUUUCACACAUGAUUAAAGUAUAUUUAAAAAGGUUCUGCAUUCUCUCUUCAUUAUCGUCCCCUACACAUUUUGUCUAUCAAUAUUUAUAUUAACCAUAAGUAUUUAUUUUCAUUGGAUUCAUUUUUUUUUUGUCAAUUUAAUGGCAUAGUAAUUUUCAUAAUUUUAGAAUAUUAUUUAAAAGUUAUUUUUAAAAUCAACGGUUGUUAAAUAUCCUAAACACUAUCGAACUUUGUAUUCUGAAAGUAAUCAGAUAUAAUUGUCAGAAAUAGAAAAUGUCGCAAAUGUUUAUUUGCCAAAAGUGACGUACCUACAGAUAGAGGUAGUCAAUGUACAGUAGGACAGAGAGCUUACAGGAAGAGUCCACGAACGUAUUUUGAAAACCAAUGCAAAUUACCCAACAAAACCAAAAAUGAAAAUUAGAGUAAAUUAUAUAUACAGAGAGUCAUUUACGCAAUUAAAUAUUGGGAAAAAAAACAUAGCAUGUAAAUCCUGAGCCUAAUACUCACAUAUAGAAAUUACCUUACAAUUCGUGUCAUAUGACAAAUUAAGAGUUAACAUAGACAGAGUUAUUCAAAAAUGAAAAUUAGAGUAAAUUAUAUAUACAGAAAGUCAUUUACGCAAUUAAAUAUUGGGAAAAAAAACAUAGCAUGUAAAUCCUGAGCUUAAUACUCACAUAUAUGAAUUACCUUACAAUUCGUGUCAUAUGAUAAAUUAGGAGUUAACAUAGACAGAGUUAUUCAAUAAACUGGGAAACCUAGAUAGAAUUAUUCUCUAAAGUGAAAAUUCGAAGGGAAUUUCAAAUGUAAAGCCAAAAUGCUUUCAGUUUGACAAUUUUGGCCGUAACGGGUUACUCCAAGCACCAAGACCACUUAAGUGAUUUGAAGUGGUCAUGGUGCCUAGAGUCUAAUUAAACCCUUUGCUGCAGGAGGUGUUACUGGCUAAUGUCAAUUCUGUGCAAAUUUCUACGUACAGAAUUGCUGACGCUCUCAGCCAAUGAAUGGCCGGUAGGAUCGGCAUCCGGAUUCUGCAGCUGCAGGUCACAGCUAAUGGGAGAGGACUCCUAGUGUCUGGAAAGAUCAGGUGGGAGCACAAACUGUUGCAAACCGUUGUUUUUAUUACCAGGAAACAGUACACUUGGCUGUAGUGGUUAAGGUACUUGGAGUAAUCCUUUAAAUUAAUAUUCACUUUGAUACUGACAUGGGAAAUGCAAAUAACAGGCCAAAAUGUUUGAAAUUGAAUCAUUUUCUGGUUAUUUUUUUUAAAUCUAUUUUAAUAUUAAUGGGAAAUCCCCUCUUCAUUUCCAAGAUAGUAAAAUAAUUUGCGUGUCUUUUAAGAUUCAAAUAAGAUUAUUCAUUCACAUGGUAUAUCUGCUUUUAUUUUAAAUAGUAAGACCUGUAUAAAUGAUCAUAUGAACCCUUUUUAAUGUGAAGGAUGGUCAAUUAAAGUGCUAGUCUUCAUAGCAGACAAAGAAAAUAUGCAUGAAACAGUUACUUUUAUCCUUUGUUUAGGAGCAUUCUAGAGAAGAUUUAAACAUAAUGGAGCUUGCUUUAAUGACUUACUAUGACAAAUACUUUGCUUGUCAAAAGCCCUGGAUAUAAUGCAGAACUAAGAAAGUUAAUUAAAAUGUCAGAUGUUUUUAAAGGUUUGUCUCACUGCUAGGAUUUUACUUCUAGCCAUGUUAUUAUAGGGUAUGAACUAAAAGGAUUAGAAAUAUUUUAACUAAUUUCAUAGUUUAAAUUAUUACUUUUUUUAUUGACAUAAAUAUAUACUUUAGGGUCUGUUACAUGUGCAGUUAUUUUGUCUGCCAAUCUGUUCUCAAGCAGAAAUAUUCUGAAUAUUUCGAUGCAUGUGAAAUUUAUUUACUCAACUUGGAUUUCUGACAAAUUAACAAGAGAAUUUCAAAUUGUCGGCCUGUAUAGCUAACUAAGGAACAUUUUGUUGCUAUUUCAAUCCAAAAUGUAAAAUUUCUAUAUCAAUUCUCAACAAUUUUAGAAUUGUACCUGGGAACUACUAAUAUUUUAAUGAAAACAGUUGAAAUGAAUGGUUUAUUUUAAGGUUUACAUUUCAUAAAUUGUUCAUUUCUGUGGUUGCACAUAUCAAGAAUUACAUUUUUAUGCAUUGUAAUAAUUUUGAGCCAUAGAUAAUCAAUGUUCUAAAUUAACAAUAAGAUCAUUUUAGAGUAUCAAAACACACUUGAUUUAUGGUCGUCUGCAUCUAAAAAUUGUCGUAGAGUUCUCAUAUCUUCAUGAAGUCUAUCUGGUUUGUAACUGUUUGCUUAUCAUAUGCCCAUGAUAAACCUCUCCAUUUCGCCUAAUGCAAUAAAAUAUUUUCAUACUUGCAUGUUUUUGUUUUUUUGCCAGAAACAAAAAUUCUUUAGGAUUAAAAAAAAAAUCAUCUAUAUAUAAGUAAAUAUAUACAUAUGCUUAUAAUAUAGGAGCGAUAUUGAUGCAUAUAUGUAAAAUAGUGGUUUUAUUUUUUUUAAAUCUUAACAAAAAUGCAGCAUCAUGCACAAGAAAAAAAUGGUAUUUUGCCUGCACUUAGAAAUCCGAGCAAUGCUUAACCCUUUUCGCAACGAGGGGUACCGUGUGAUAAAUUAAAAUGCCUUGCCAAUUUUUCAGCACAGACGGGUAAUAGAACACUCUGAAUGUCCAAUUUAAAUACGCAAAAUAGAACUCACUUAGAGUGCACUUUGGGUUAUAUACCACAGAACUGGUUCUCCUGCAGAGAUACUUUGUACAUAACAGAUGUAUUUAAUUUCCUUGUAUUUUGUAACUUACUUGUACACUGAAAAAAUACAGAAUAAAAAGCUCUUCUUUUUUUUUUUU